UUGGGGAAAACCGUGUCAAUAGUUCGCCAGAAAUUAUAUUGUAGUAAGCCACAAAAUCACAAGACGUGCAUAUCGAUAGAAUAAAUUGUGAUCCAGACAAUACAUCUUUAUAGUGUUCCUACCUUCCACCCUAAUCCAUCAUGAAAUAAUAUUUCCUAAUUUGCAUAUUAGGGCUUGGAAUGUCUGUACACAAAACUUGUCUAAAUCACACUGAAAAAGACCUCGGUCUUUUGGCAUGCUCAAAAUUUGGUUGAGACCAUCUCAAUUCCCAUGCACAAUAACCGAAACCAAAUGAUUGUUUAUAAAAAACAGAUCCACCAACCAUCACAAGUCUAACAUCAGAUGCUACCAACAACAUGAUUGAUGAAGAUUCUACCGUAACCUUCACCUGUUCUGUUGACAGUCUGCCAUCUUCAGUAAUAUCCUGGUCCAGAUCACAAGUGGAUCAACUCUAUUCUGGUAGUCAAUAUACCAUAACUAAAGCUAGUUGUCAACAUACAGAUAACUAUACCUGUACAGCUAGUAAUAAGAUUGGUCAACCUGUAUCUAACACUAUUCCACUCUAUGUUAGAUGUUCUCCUCGAGAAAACAUAGAAACCAAGAGAAAGAUCGUCAAUAGAAUAGAUGCAACAAUAAAUCUAGAAGUUGAUAUAAUCGCCUACCCUGAACCAACCUUCACCUGGUACCAUACACCUACCAGACAGAUAAUAAAUACAGCUAGAACACAACAACUAUCAACUAUAAACUAUAAAUCAACAGUAGAGAUAACUCUAAACUCUACUCUAUUUGGUGAUUAUAUAGUAUCUGUAGUCAAUGGUAUUGGUGUUCAGAACUUCACUAUUACAGUUAUUGAAGGAGAACCACCAAAGCCACCUGGCCAGUUGGAAAGUAAUAACAUACCUACUAUAGUUGGUAGUAUUAUUGGUGUAUUGAUGGUUAUUGGUAUCGUGCUUGUUAUUGGUGUAGUUAUAUACCGUAGAAAGGCAUCAAGAGAUAAUGAUAAUACAUACGAUGGACUUGGAGUUACCUCCCUUUCAACUAAUCAACCUGUUUAUGAUGAAAUUAAUUCCUCUACAACUAGAUCUAAUCAUACAACAGCACGUGCCGAUACCACACCAGCCUACUAUAAUACAACGAACUUGGACCACAGCGAUAUUACCAACCCAUAAUACGUCAAUUCACCAUCAUUGUCAUCGACAUAUGACAGACUUGAUAUACGAAGUAAGGAAGAACAUCCAGACACUUAUCAACAACUCAGUACACCAACAACACCAUAUGAAGGACUGGAUGUACCAAACAAAGACAAGCACCAACACACUUCUCAACAACUUAACAUCUACGAAAACCAGAAGCUGUGAUCACUUUCCAUCUGCUUUGUUUACAAAGUUAACAUUACUGACUCCGAAACGAAAGAGUCCUAAAGGAAGCACAGGUUUAUUACCCCCUUGCUAUUUAAUCGAUUUCUACUUGGAACUAGCUUUAUAUAUAUGUUCGUUUAUUUGUUACAUGUAUAUUUGUUGUACUGUAUUAUGUAAUUUUUGUAAUUGUAUGCCGCUCCACGUGGGUAUUUUUAUGCAAUACAAUUUACUUACCAUAGGUGAUAUCAAUGAUUGCGUGUACAGCAUGCACUCCGUCAUCUGGAUGUAACUUUUACAAAAGGAACGGGUACUCCGCUAUCAAGAUGUUAUUUUAACAACAGGAAUAGGUGCUCCGCUAUCUAGAUGUUAAGAAUGUAAUUUUAAUGAGUUUUACAACUCUACAACAUGAACAUGUUCUCCGUUCUCCGUCGUUUAUUAUGAAUAUGAAGGAUGAACCUACUGAAGGCGGAUACAAUGUGGAGCUAAGUUCUUUUAAUUUCGGUUUCGUUUUUUCUGCCAUUUCGAUUUGAUGAUAAAUUUACAAUCUAUUCAGCUUCUUCAUGUUAUUUAAUGUUUUUUCAUAUCUUUCAUAAACCUGUAGAACUAAGGAACUAAUCU
Molecule: RNA transcript, 1976 nt
Organism: Patella vulgata (common limpet)
Lineage: Eukaryota; Metazoa; Mollusca; Gastropoda; Patellidae
Exons: 4
Source: RefSeq, a predicted model, not a curated record